This 497-nucleotide ribosomal RNA is filed under the name uncultured bacterium. RNAcentral describes it as "partial 16S ribosomal RNA". It matches the Rfam family "Bacterial small subunit ribosomal RNA", at positions 28 to 507 of the family's 1533-position model. The record is from RNAcentral.
GAUGAACGCUGGCGGCGUGCCUAAUACAUGCAAGUCGAGCGAACGGACGAGAAGCUUGCUUCUCUGAUGUUAGCGGCGGACGGGUGAGUAACACGUGGAUAACCUACCUAUAAGACUGGGAUAACUUCGGGAAACCGGAGCUAAUACCGGAUAAUAUUUUGAACCGCAUGGUUCAAAAGUGAAAGACGGUCUUGCUGUCACUUAUAGAUGGAUCCGCGCUGCAUUAGCUAGUUGGUAAGGUAACGGCUUACCAAGGCAACGAUGCAUAGCCGACCUGAGAGGGUGAUCGGCCACACUGGAACUGAGACACGGUCCAGACUCCUAUGGGAGGCAGCAGUAGGGAAUCUUCCGCAAUGGGCGAAAGCCUGACGGAGCAACGCCGCGUGAGUGAUGAAGGUCUUCGGAUCGUAAAACUCUGUUAUUAGGGAAGAACAUAUGUGUAAGUAACUGUGCACAUCUUGACGGUACCUAAUCAGAAAGCCACGGCUAACUACGUG